RNAcentral lists this ribosomal RNA (151 nucleotides) under Ricasolia quercizans. Its description in RNAcentral is "5.8S ribosomal RNA". It matches the Rfam family "5.8S ribosomal RNA". From Rfam's summary of the family: 5.8S ribosomal RNA (5.8S rRNA) is a component of the large subunit of the eukaryotic ribosome. It is transcribed by RNA polymerase I as part of the 45S precursor that also contains 18S and 28S rRNA. Functionally, it is thought that 5.8S rRNA may be involved in ribosome translocation. Lineage: Eukaryota; Fungi; Ascomycota; Lecanoromycetes; Peltigerales; Lobariaceae. The record is from RNAcentral.
CUUUCAACAACGGAUCUCUUGGUUCUGGCAUCGAUGAAGAACGCAGCGAAAUGCGAUAAGUAAUGUGAAUUGCAGAAUUCAGUGAAUCAUCGAAUCUUUGAACGCACAUUGCGCCCCUUGGUAUUCCGAGGGGCAUGCCUGUCCGAGCGUC